GACGGAGGUUGCAAGCGUUGUCCGGAAUUACUGGGCGUAAAGCAGGUGCAGGCGGCUCGUUAUGGCGGGUGUGAAAUCCCAGGACUCAAUUCUGGAACUGCGCCCGAAACUGGCGAGCUUGAGUGCGGGAGGGGGUGGUGGAAUUCCCGGUGUAGAGGUGAAAUUCGUAGAUAUCGGGAGGAAUACCGGUGGCGAAGGCGACCACCUGGCCCGUAACUGACGCUCAGACCUGAAAGCGUGGGGAGCAAACGGA
RNAcentral lists this ribosomal RNA (253 nucleotides) under uncultured bacterium. RNAcentral's name for it is "partial 16S ribosomal RNA". It matches the Rfam family "Bacterial small subunit ribosomal RNA", at positions 524 to 776 of the family's 1533-position model. The record is from RNAcentral.